RNAcentral lists this ribosomal RNA (1401 nucleotides) under uncultured bacterium. RNAcentral's name for it is "bacterial SSU rRNA". It matches the Rfam family "Bacterial small subunit ribosomal RNA". The record is from RNAcentral.
GAGUUUGAUCAUGGCUCAGGAUUAACGCUGGCGGCGUGCCUAACACAUGCAAGUCGAGCGGCAGCGAGUUUUACACUGAAUUCUGGAAGCUUCUAGUUGAAAGAGAAGAUUUAUUCAAGAAUUUUGUGUAAAAUGUCGGCGAGCGGCGGACGGCUGAGUAACGCGUGGGAACGUACCCCAAAGUGAGGGAUAACGCAUCGAAAGGUGUGCUAAUACCGCAUAUGGUCUUCGGAUUAAAGCCUUCGGGCGCUUUGGGAACGGCCUGCGUAAGAUUAGAUAGUUGGUGGGGUAAUGGCCUACCAAGUCGACGAUCUUUAACUGGUUUGAGAGGAUGAUCAGUCAGACUGGAACUGAGACACGGUCCAGACUCCUACGGGAGGCAGCAGUGAGGAGUCUUCCACAAUGGGCGAAAGCCUGAUGGAGCAACGCCGCGUGCAGGAUGAAGGCCUUCGGGUUGUAAACUGCUUUUAUAAGUGAUGAUUAUGACAGUAACUUAUGAAUAAGGAUCGGCUAACUACGUGCCAGCAGCCGCGGUCAUACGUAGGAUCCGAGCGUUAUCCGGAGUGACUGGGCGUAAAGAGUUGCGUAGGUGGUUUAAUAAGCGAAUAGUGAAAUCUGGUGGCUCAACCAUUCAGACUAUUAUUCGAACUGUUGAACUCGAGAGCAGAAGAGGUAGCUGGAAUUUCUAGUGUAGGAGUGAAAUCCGUAGAUAUUAGAAGGAACACCGAUGGCGUAGGCAGGCUACUGGGCUGUUUCUGACACUGAGGCACGAAAGCGUGGGGAGCGAACCGGAUUAGAUACCCGGGUAGUCCACGCCGUAAACGAUGGAUACUAGCUGUUUGGGGUAUCGACCCCCUGAGUAGCGAAGCUAACGCGUUAAGUAUCCCGCCUGUGGAGUACGAUCGCAAGAUUAAAACAUAAAGGAAUUGACGGGGACCCGCACAAGCGGUGGAUCAUGUUCUUUAAUUCGAUGAUAACCGAUAAACCUUACCAGGUCUUGACAUCCUUGGAAUCUUUCAGAAAUGAGAGAGUGCUUUUUAAGAGCCAAGUGACAGGUGAUGCAUGGCCGUCGUCAGCUCGUGUCGUGAGAUGUUUGGUUAAGUCCAUCAACGAGCGCAACCCUUGUCAGUAGUUGUAUUUUUCUACUGAGACUGCCCCGGUAACGGGGAGGAAGGAGGGGAUGACGUCAGGUCAGUAUUUCCCUUACGUCCUGGGCUAGAAACGUGAUACAAUGGCUAGUACAAUGCGCAGCGAAGCCGCGAGGUGAAGCAAAUCGCAUCAAAGCUAGUCCCAGUUCGGAUUGUAGGCUGAAACUCGCCUGCAUGAAGUCGGAAUCGCUAGUAAUCGCAGAUCAGCAUGCUGCGGUGAAUACGUUCCCGGGUCUUGCACACACCGCCCGUC